This 455-nucleotide ribosomal RNA is filed under the name Streptococcus sp. oral taxon 056. RNAcentral's name for it is "bacterial SSU rRNA". It matches the Rfam family "Bacterial small subunit ribosomal RNA", at positions 38 to 477 of the family's 1533-position model. Lineage: Bacteria; Bacillati; Bacillota; Bacilli; Lactobacillales; Streptococcaceae. The record is from RNAcentral.
GGCGGCGUGCCUAAUACAUGCAAGUAGAACGCUGAAGGAGGAGCUUGCUCUUCUGGAAGAGUUGCGAACGGGUGAGUAACGCGUAGGUAACCUGCCUGGUAGCGGGGGAUAACUAUUGGAAACGAUAGCUAAUACCGCAUAAGAUUGAAUAUCGCAUGAUAAUUGAUUAGAAGAUGCAAAUGCAUCACUACCAGAUGGACCUGCGUUGUAUUAGCUAGUAGGUGAGGUAACGGCUCACCUAGGCGACGAUACAUAGCCGACCUGAGAGGGUGAUCGGCCACACUGGGACUGAGACACGGCCCAGACUCCUACGGGAGGCAGCAGUAGGGAAUCUUCGGCAAUGGGGGCAACCCUGACCGAGCAACGCCGCGUGAGCGAAGAAGGUUUUCGGAUCGUAAAGCUCUGUUGUAAGAGAAGAAACGAGUGUGAGAAGUGGAAAAGUUUCAACAACUGGG